UGGCCGAUAGUAUAAUGGUAGUACAGCAGGUUUUGGUCCUGUUCGUCAGGGUUCGAAUCCUUGUCGGCCAA
Molecule: transfer RNA, 71 nt
Filed under: Bacteroidota bacterium
Lineage: Bacteria; Pseudomonadati; Bacteroidota
Also listed under: 1 other name
Description: Bacteroidetes bacterium (activated sludge metagenome) tRNA-Gln
Rfam family: tRNA
About the family: Transfer RNA (tRNA) molecules are approximately 80 nucleotides in length.
Source: RNAcentral